GCAUCCGUAACUCAGAUGGAUAGAGUACUCGGCUACGAACCGAGCUGUCAGGGGUUCAAAUCCUCUCGGAUGCG
This 74-nucleotide transfer RNA is filed under the name Candidatus Westeberhardia cardiocondylae. Its description in RNAcentral is "transfer RNA Arginine". It matches the Rfam family "tRNA". From Rfam's summary of the family: Transfer RNA (tRNA) molecules are approximately 80 nucleotides in length. Their secondary structure includes four short double-helical elements and three loops (D, anti-codon, and T loops). The record is from RNAcentral. Lineage: Bacteria; Pseudomonadati; Pseudomonadota; Gammaproteobacteria; Enterobacterales; Enterobacteriaceae.